CCUGGGUCAGCCUGGCUCAGGACCCCUGUGGCCUGGGACGAUCUGCCCUGGAGUUGGUGUUCAGGGAGGAUGGCUGAGGUGAAGGGCCAGGAGGGGCCCAGCUUGGCGCAGGGGUCUUGCCAUACCCUUGCACUCCUGCCCGUCCCCCUGAUCCCCACAUGGAUGGCUCUGUAAUUCCCUGUCACUUAACCUUCUUCUGCCAAUUUCCCAAGCCCCCAGGUGGGAUGGGAAAGGGAACUUGGACCUAAAGGCAAAUGCUGGCUUUCAUGGGUGCAGGAGGCAGUGGUGGGGGGGGUGAUUCCUGAAUGCCCUGGUGUAAGAUGUGAAGAGGGCUUCAGGACUAGUCUCCAGUUUACCUACAAGGAAACGCAGCCUCACGGAGGUAAAAUGACUCUCCCAAGGUCUCACAACUAAGCAGAAGUGAAUCUCACUUGGAGUUCCAGCUUCCAGGUUUAGAGUUCCUUGAAAAAGACAAACCAAACACAAACAAACAAAAAUGCCAAAGUCUUCUUGGUGAGGAAGGGGGAGGGGGGCCAAGAGUGAGACGGAUUGGAUUCCCCUCCACUGAGCGGAGUUGUUUCCUUUUCUGUGGAAUGUAGGGCAAGGGGGUGCAUUCCUGCCCCCUGUGGCUAUUGUGAAGAAUUCAAUGAUAGGAUGGAUGUCAAUGCUUUCUGAGGGGCCUGGUGGUCUUCAUGAGUCCCCCCCCCCAGAGGGCACAGGGCGCCCUAGGUUCCGAGUGAGGCCGGUGGUCUAGGCUGCGUCGGGCCUGCCCUCACUUUGAGGGCCUGUCUCUGUGCUCUGGGUGGAGGACGCGGCUGGUUUGGUAAAUAAUAACAGUAAAUUGGGGGUUUUCCUUUGACUUGGUUGGAGACAGGAAGCGCCUGUGGAGGGCUGUGAAUGACGAGUGGGCAGAGUGGGUAGAGCCUGCCCAGGGUGUGAAGGAAAUUCAGUUAUUCGGGGGAGGGGGAUGGGGUUGGUGAGGCGGGGAAAGUGGCCGUCCUACCCACCCCACCCGGUUAAUGUAAACAGACCUGCUGGCUGGCUGGCCACUCCCCAGGUGGGCCAGAGCGGGAAUGGGAGCAGCCCUGGGGGGCAGCCUCAGCGCCCUCGGCCGCCCCAGAGGGAGUCUGGCCAAGUUUAGAAGUAACUCCUGUUUAGAAGGGACACGAGCUCCAGCUCUGGGGCGCAUUUUGGCAAAUUUACCUACCUCUCCUCGCCCUGCACUAGGACCAGUGUGAAGAGACCACCCAAAAUCCUAAAUCCCUAAAUACCCCAGCACUGACUAGUGUGCACUAUGCUUUGGGUAAAAAGAAGCGUAAGACCCAGUUCCUGCUCCGUGUGCAAACUUGAGAGGCUGUCUUUUCCUUUCUCUGCCCCCGAGGCCCGGAUACCUACUUUGUGGUCUGAAUCUCUCUGUUCACAACUGCUCCAGAUGGUGACGGAGGUGUCAUCUGAGCCCAGGUGGCCUGGGGCAGCCUUUGAGCCCCUAAAGGUUCUGACACUGGAGGAAUGAGUGAGGUGGAAGCCGCAUGCCCUGGAGCCUUGUCUUCUGGACAAAGCCCUCACGUGCCUUCCUGGAGACAAUAGCAGUUCUACCCCCAUUGAGGUGUGUGAGGCUUAAAUGUGGCCACGCCAGGACUUCGAGAAGUGGGGAGGGCACUAUCCCUGGGUGUGUGUAAGGGGGUUCCUCCCCCAAGCUGCAGAUCACCCUUUGAAGGAGAUCAGUGCUUUGGCCUCCUCGGCUCGACUGCUCUUGGAGACUCAGCCCCGUCGCAGGAGUUCCGACACCACGUUCUGAUUCAGCUCCUCUUCAGCACGUGCUCCGUGCCACGCCUGGUGCUUGGACUCUGGGGAGACGCGGACGAGCUGGAAGUGGGUCUAGCCCCAUGUCUAGGGGAGCAGAUGGCCCGUAACAGAACAGAAAGCAGGGGAAAUCGACACCUGAAACAGCAGGUGCUUGCAGUGCAGAUGGUGGAGCUCUUCUGGCAGAGACCCUGAAGCGCCCCCCAGGAGCCCUGGGGGGACAGAUGUGACAGUAGUCAAUGAGGGAAGAGCUCCGUGGAGGUGCUCCCAUCAGAUGUCCACUCUCAUCUCUGCAGGAGCCACAUCUUUCCUUUGAGUCUAGGUUCCCCCUUCUGUCUUUUGGUCUGAACUGCUGUCUGUUACCGCCCCUCCCCGCCCCCCGCCUUUGCUUCAGCUUGAUCUUUGACUCCCAUCAAUUCAUCCAAGGGAAAUCUGAUUUACCCUCCUCAAGGGGGGGGCGUCCUCAGUGCUUUUCUGCCCAUUUUCCCUUCCCAGCCCCUCCAACCUGGAUUCCUCUCAUUCAUCUAUGUUUGCUUCCCCCAUAACCAAAAUUUGGGAACAGAGCCUGAGUGGGAUUUCCCCUCUAAUCUUCUGUUCAUUAACUUUUAAAGAAGACUUAAACUUAGAUCAUUUUUAGUUACGCAUUUUACAAGUCAUUAUGACAAAGGACAAUGUUACAUGUAACUGGGGGCUCCUCUUGGAAAAGUGGACUGAAUGGUUGUCCAGGAUUCCCUUGUCUGCCACCGUCCCCCCCCCCCAGUGUCACUGAGACGCCAUAGCUCUUUGUAGGCUGUUCUCACCUCUCCGCAUGGUCCUCACACCACCCCUCAGUAUCGGAAAUGGGAGCCCCUGAGAACUUCCCAUAACAGAUACACAUCUUAAUGUACUUAAGCUUCCACACUUUUUAUUUUUUACACACCAACAUCUCAAACCUAGGGUUACCUUGGAAUGUACAUCCACCCUCUGUGGGGGGCAUAAUUCCUCUGGGGGGAAAUUAUUCCCCAGAGCCUCCGGCCAGGGCCAGGAAGUCUUGGCUGUGACUCUCUGGUGGGGAGAUCUUCGGGGGACAAGUGGCAGCUGCUGAGAGGCCGGGAACCUGUGUGUGGUAAGUCAUUUUUAGGGGCCAGAGCUGCCAUGCAAAUGCAUUCGUUUGCAUAACUUUCUUGCUCUAUGGGACAGUGAAGUUUCCUAUUCCAUGGGACACUGCUGCCAGGAUUUGCAAGUGAAAUAUUGGGACUGGCUUUCCCCCUUUGCUGUUCCCCUCUUUCAUGAGACUUUACCUCCCCCCGCCCCCUCGGGUUUUGUUUCUGUCCCUCAGGCCCUGUGUAACCAACCAAAUGCUGGUCUUAACAUUUCUGUUCCUAGGAGACUAGCCUUGCUGGGGCCCUGAUAUGCAAAGUAUCUACAAAGGUCAUGCAAAUGAGUCCCUGGGCUGGGUGACUCUGGCCCAAGUCCAAAACCUGUGGAUAGCUCAGGCCCCUGCUGUCUGAGCCCAAAGGAAACGUGAUCGCCAUCCCUUCCGCCAUCCCUUCGUCCCUUCACCCUCAUCAGUCCAGGUGGCCGAGACAUCUUGUUCCUCAACUAGCAAGAGCCUCCUGGGGCUAUGAGGCCUCAAGUUUCAGAAUGAGCUGAGUUCUCCCAGCCCUUACCCUCUGAUUUGGAGACCUGUGGUUCCAAAUUCACCAGUCAGAGGUUUACUUUUCAAACAAACCACGAUCACAUCGAAGUCUGAACCCCAGACCUUGGUUAGCUGUGCCUAGAGCCUGCGGUCCAGGGAGACCUGGUAUUUGCAGUAAGACCCAGAAGGGCCUAUGGUUUUCUGGCACUCAGCUGUCUCCUUUCCUGGUCAGAAACCUGUUCUAAGUAACUGCCCUCAUAGUGAGACUCUGACCCUCCUCACCCGCACCCACAGCGGCUCACAGUGGGCACCAAGGCAGGACGGAAGGGGACAGGGGCAGGCCAUUCUCUGAGCCAGUCUGCAAGGAAGAGAAAUCCAGUCUGAUCCAUUUACUCCAAGUUCUGAAAAGGGUAGCUGAGCCAGCAUAGGUGCUCGGGCUCUGUUGGAUGGAUGAAUACAUCUAAGAACAAUGAACACAACUAAUUUUAGUAAUUCAAACAGCGAAGCAAUUAGACACACAUCGUCGUAUAUACAUUCAGAGUGAAAUGUGCAAGCUCUUCUUUACAACCUCUCUCUCUCCUCACUCAACGAUGCCGGCUCCCUCUCCAGAAAUAACUUUGUUUAACAGCUUGGUGUGAUUCUCAUUUUAUCCAGCCUUACAAAAAUUUCUAUUUAUCUACACACGUAUAUCCUAAAUACAGGUGAGAAAUUUCUUUGAGGGUUAUAACAAGUACAAAUGGGAUCGUUAGGCAUAUGGUUUUACAACUUGCUUUUUUUAAAAAAAAUUGUGCUGAAACAUCCAUGCCGUAAAAUUUACCACCGUAACCAUUCUUAAGUGUGGAGUUAAAUAGUGUGAAGUAUCUUCCCAUUGUCGCACAACCCAUCUCCAGAACUCUAGCCACAUCCGUUAAUCGAUAUGCAACUUGCUUUUUAAACUCAGCAUAUCAUAGUGGGUGUCCGUGACCGAACUCAACUAUCAAAAAUUUUUUCUAGUGUUUUAAAGGUUUUUUGUUUUUAGUUUUUAGUAAUCUCCACACCCAACGUGGGGCUCAAACUCACAACCCCAUGAUUAAGGGUCACAUGCUGUACUGACGGAGCCAGCCGGGUGCCCCAGAACCAUCCUAUUCUUAACAGCUGCAGAGGAUUCCACAGCAUCAAUGCAGCAUAAUUUAUUUAACUAUCUGCCCUUGGUGGAUGUUUUAUUUCCUUUUUUUUUUUUACUCUUAGUAUGAAUGUUGCAAACGGCUUCAGCCAUAUCUCUGUGCACAUGUGUAAGGACUUCUGUAGGAUAGGUUCCUAGAAGUGGCAGUUAGAGAAAGGGGUAUGUACACUUUAUGUUUUGGUAGGCACUCCCAAAAAGACAGUAUCGAUUUAUGAAUGAAUGCAUUUUGCAUAUUGCUUUCUGAAUGACACGCCCAUGAAUGGAUUUACUGUCAGCAGUGGGGCAAUCUGUGGGUGGAAUAAGUCAGCUGAGAAUAAGAGUACAGAAGCACUUCCCAAAACAUAGAUACAUACUCUGGGUAACAUUGUGGGCGACUGGAAGAAUCAGAUGAGGGGCAAAGGGGAUUCCUUCAGCCUCUCCCCGUAUCAGUGGCUCUGCUCACCCAAUUACAGUUAUUUGCAUAUAUUUUGGGUGUGCAGGCAGAAUGGCUCGAAGACCAAUCUGAGGGUCAGCCUUGCUCAGCUUUCUGCUGGUGUUUGAUCUUGGGCAUGUUGCUUGAUCUGGUUCCCAGACUGCGAAGCCCCUGGUGGGAACGCCAAGGAGAUGACAGUGUGCAGAUGACUUUGACAUACGGCCCACUGGCAGGUGCUGUGAGAGGCCCAGAGUGUCGUGGGAGCUUCCCGGGGGGACUCCCAUCUGGUUAGGGAGACCGUGACAGAAAGGCCCGUGCUGAAAGAGGUGACUCUGGCUCAGGGUUCUAGGAGUUACGGGGGACACAGGAAACUUGCAGGCAUUUUUUCUUACGAUACAGGAGCUCAAUCACAUUACCCCCAGAACCUUUACGGGACACUGAUUGCGUGCCCAGCCCUCUGCUGAUUACAGAGUCUGCAGAACCAGGUUCGUGAUGCGGUGGUCAAUAGCUCGGUUGCACACUACACGGGAGAAAGCUUUGGAGUUACACUACACUGGGUUCCAAGUAUGUGCAGGUGACUUCACAGAGCCUCCGUUUAUCAACUAGUACCUUGGGGAUAAGAAAUGUGGCACUCCACAAAAAUUUCUUUUAAGAUUGCUUUAUUUCAGAGAGAGAGAGAGAGUGCGUGCAAGCCAGGGAGGUGCAGAGGGAGAGAGAGACAAGCAGACUUUGGGGAGCCCGAUGUGGGGCUUGAUCCCAUGAGAUCAUGACCUGAGCCAAAAUCAAGAGCUGGGGGCUCAACCAACUGAGCCACCCAGGCACCCUUCCAAAAUUAUUAACAAUAUUUAGAAUUAUAAGUAUUAACUAUGAGAAUGUGCUUCCUGGACCUCCAAUUACAGCAGCAGCAUCCUAGGGCCUCAGGAGCUGUUCUCCGAAAGCCACUGUUGCAUUUGCGCUGAGGCCAUAUUUCCCUCCUGCUGCCCCCAGGCAAUGACUGGGCCUGGUAGGCAUUCUAAGGUACACCAGUUCCGGGGGGAACCAGGCCUCUAGUGAAGGCUGAUUUUGGUCUGAGGAUUCCCUGGCAGCUCUGCGGAAGCUUCUUCAGGCUGCACAGUAGUAUAGGCCACUCGUGCCCAGCCUUCUCUCCUUUGCUCCUCAGUGGGGUCAGGGCUCUCUCAGCUUGACCAGCCUCCCCACCCCCUUUUCUCUCAUAAAGACAUUUCCCCUAACUAAACCCCCGGCCUGUCCAAUCCGGUUUUGUCGUCUGCUUCUCAGAGGACCCAGAUUAACAGUGAUAUUGCUUCCCUCAUAGGGCUGUUGCCAGGAACAACGGAGAAAGGUAAAAGCUUGAGCACGACGCCUGCGCAUGGUCAGCACUCAUUAUUGUCCUAUAUCACAGGCUCUGGACCUCAGCUUUCUGAACUCUGCGGCUGGAGUCACCAGUGAGGGGCCUACUCCCUCCCAGGAAGGAGUUCUGUAACUGUGUAACACUGCGACCACAGCCCUAGGCCAGAAACCACGCCCCUUCCUUCUGCUGGUCCAGAGGACCCGAGAGUGGCCAGCGAAGGCCUCCCUGCGAUUGCACCAGAAUGACUUGCAGUGAGAGAACUAGUGAAGCUGGUGAGGCUUCAGCUUCCGAGUCCUGACUUGCACGAACCACUCUCCUACUUUGGGAUCUGUAAGCUCCAAUUUAUUUUUUUCUGAAAGCCUCUAAAGUAUUCAAGCUUUGGGCUCCACAAACCUAGAUCCAUUGCGGCUUGUGUUCCACUGUGGCAGAAAAGGCAAGCCAUACACUAAAGGUUCUUUCACUUUCCAUCGUUGUUGCUGGAAAGUGGCCAUCCAGCCAGGGACUACACUUCUAGCUCCUCCGUGCCUUGGUUCAUAUCAAUGGAAUGUGGCCAAAGGGAUGUGCCCGCCAUUCCUUGGUCUGACCUAUUAAACCCUUUUAAACCUAUUAAAACCUAUAAAAACCUGUUAAAACCUACAAUCCUUUUCCCCUUCCCUUGUCUUCUGGCUGCAUCCAAGACAGGGUCAAGGGUGUGACUCCAUUUUUGAUGUUUACGUACAGCUUUCAAGCCCACUACUCCCCUUUCCCUUUCUGCCCCCCAAAACUGACACGAAAGCUUGAGUGCUCCCUCCUGUGGCUGUGGCGGGAAAUUCAAACCAUGCAAGUCUCAGCCUGUGCCUGGGAAUCCUUACCCACGCUCCAUCACCCAACUAUCAUGAACCCGAAGCCCGUAGCCCCUCUCUGCUUUCUCUCAAGCCGUUUUUGGAACCAGCCCUCCUCCUUCCAAGAAAGUCUCGCAUCUUUCUAGGCACAGUACAGCCCAAUAAAGAGAAGAUUUGGUGCCUAAAAGUGUUCCUGACCGGAGAUGCCUGCCAUAAUGACCCAAGAAUCAAAGACACAAGAGGGAAGAAACCUGCCAAACAAAUCUCCCACAACCAGUCUCCUUGACUGCUUUCUGCACCUUCAUCUAGGGGUGAAAGAGAAGAAGAUGGACUGGAAUUUUUCAGCCUAAAAUUCUCUAUUUGUUUGGGUCCUGAAAUUUCAUCACAUUAUAGGAAAAGUAGUUGUGACUUUGAAGGACUGGGUUGCUGACUGCAGUGGGCGAAGUGGUCCAAAUCCCAGAGGAAUGCUUUUUGGAAGAAAAUUCCACCAGCCCCCUUCCUUUCCAGAUCCUACCCCUUUUUCAAAGUUCCACUCAAUCUUUGGCUUCUCCAUGGACACUGCUCUGAUCAUUCAAACCAUUAAGUGAUGCCCUCUAUCCACACCUGGCUCUCAUUAGAGAGUACACCUGUAUCUGUAUAAUUAUUUGGCUUUUAAUCAUGUAUGUAUUUCUGAUAACUCUCCAUUAGUUGCCCUGGAUUGUUAUUUAUCUUUUUGUGCUAGUUUACUUUCUCAAGGAUACUAUGAGCAAAUUAAUGUAUUUACAUGUCCAGCAUAUAGUUCUGGAGUGCCAACUUGUGCCAGGCAUUGUUCUAGGUCCUGGGAGGUUAGAUUCUCUCUCUCUCCUUCUCUCUCUCUCAUAUGUCAACCAUCUAUCAUCUAUCUCAGGUGGUAGAUGCAAUAAAGACAAAAAAGGCUAAGGGGAGUUAAAUAAUGAAAUAAAGGAAAUCAUUGAUCAAGAAAAUGAAUGACAGU
This is a long non-coding RNA of Ailuropoda melanoleuca (giant panda), 8137 nucleotides long. RefSeq lists it as uncharacterized. The transcript has 3 exons. Lineage: Eukaryota; Metazoa; Chordata; Mammalia; Carnivora; Ursidae. The record is from RefSeq and is a predicted model, not a curated record.